Long non-coding RNA from Sinocyclocheilus rhinocerous, 577 nucleotides. RefSeq lists it as uncharacterized. The transcript has 2 exons. NCBI's taxonomy places the organism in Eukaryota, Metazoa, Chordata, Actinopteri, Cypriniformes, Cyprinidae. The record is from RefSeq and is a predicted model, not a curated record.
CCUUUCCUUUAUCUCAUUAGGAGGACAUAUCCAAACUGCGCAGGAAGAUCGAGAAGGCCAAGAAACCUGCGGAGAACAUUCGAAAUGGAGAUGAGAUCCUGAAUGAAGAAAUAAACGAUUACAAGGCCCGGUUGACCUGUCCAUGCUGCAAUUCACGUGUAAAGGACGCCGUUUUGACAAAGUGCUUCCACGUUUUCUGUUUUGAGUGCGUGAAGACGCGCUACGACACCCGUCAGAGAAAGUGCCCAAAGUGCAAUGCCGCAUUUGGUGCCAACGAUUUCCAUCGCAUCUACAUCGGAUGAGAUUUAUGAUUCACGGUAUCUGGAUCCGUUUGGUCCAGUUGCUCAACAUUGUUUGGAGGGUGGAGCUUGUCCUGUAACGUUGGGCGAACAUCAACAGUUUUACAUUCCACUUGUUUUUUUUCUCUACAAAGACAUCCAAAAUUUUCAGUAGAUGUCCCAGCAGCGGUUUAGCAGAACUAACCUGGUCACAUUCCACAGGUUGUCCUAGCCAACAUUUCUCACAACAUUUCUGCUGCUUGCUUCCAGGAGUGUCCUGAAUGCUCGCUGACAUUUGU